GACGAACGCUGGCGGCGUGCUUAACACAUGCAAGUCGAACGGGCCCGCUCUCUUUUUUGGGGGUGGGUUGAGUGGCGAACGGGUGAGUAUCACGUGAGUAACCUGCCCCCUGCUCCUGGAUAACUGCUUGAAAGGGCGGCUAAUACGGGGUGUGCCGGCUGGUCCGCAUGGGCCUGGUCGGGAUAGUUUCAUCUUCGGGUGUUUCGGUGGGGGAUGGGCUCGCGGCCUAUCAGCUUGUUGGUGGGGUGAUGGCCCACCAAGGCGGUGACGGGUAGCCGGCCGGAGAGGGUGGGCGGCCACACGGGGACUGAGACACGGCCCAGACGCCUGCGGGAGGCAGCAGUGGGGGGUAUUGCACAAUGGGCGGAAGCCUGAUGCAGCGACGCCGCGUGAGGGAGGGAGGCCUUCGGGUUGUGAACCUCUUUCUCCGGUGGUGAAGGCCCUGUCCGUUGCGGCGGGGUUGACGGUAGCCGGGUAUGAAGCGCCGGCUAACUACGU
Molecule: ribosomal RNA, 498 nt
Filed under: uncultured bacterium
Lineage: Bacteria
Description: partial 16S ribosomal RNA
Rfam family: Bacterial small subunit ribosomal RNA
Source: RNAcentral